GUUAACAGGCUGAUCUUCCCCAAGAGCUCACAUCGACGGGAAGGUCUGGCACCUCGAUGUCGGCUCUUUGCCACUUGGGGCUGUAGUAUGUUCCAAGGGUUGGGCUAGCUGUUCGCCCAUUAAAGCGGUACGUGAGCUGGGUUCAGAACGUCGUGAGACAGUUC
Non-coding RNA from Helianthus annuus (common sunflower), 164 nucleotides. Lineage: Eukaryota; Viridiplantae; Streptophyta; Magnoliopsida; Asterales; Asteraceae. The record is from Rfam.